GUCUAUGCUAAGAGGGCAAUAGAAGAGGCUGCCCUUAAAGCUUUUAGUGAGAAGCGUCAUCUUGAGGAGAAAUUGGGGAUGGCUGUCAAACAGGCAGAAGAUUUCAAGGCCGCUGCUAAGAAGGCAAUCUACGAGGCCGGCGCAACUAAGAAAUGUUACAAGAUUGGCUUAAGCAAUUUUGUUGCAUACCUGGCCACCAGUGAAGGCAGAUCGUUGGGGGACUACGUAAACCAGCUAAUUGAGGAGAUACCACACGAUAAUAGGGCCCCGG
Molecule: long non-coding RNA, 271 nt
Filed under: Daucus carota (carrot)
Lineage: Eukaryota; Viridiplantae; Streptophyta; Magnoliopsida; Apiales; Apiaceae
Description: long non-coding RNA (DCAR_LNC005104)
Source: RNAcentral